GUGCCAGCAGCCGCGGUAAUACGUAGGGGCCUAGCGUUGUCCGGAAUUAUUGGGCGUAAAGAGCUCGUAGGCGGUUCGGCAAGUCGGAUGUGAAAUCUCCACGCUCAACGUGGAGGGGCCAUUCGAAACUGCCGUGACUCGAGUCCGGUAGGGGAGUGUGGAAUUCCCGGUGUAGCGGUGAAAUGCGCAGAUAUCGGGAGGAACACCAGUAGCGAAGGCGGCACUCUGGGCCGGUACUGACGCUGAGGAGCGAAAGCGUGGGGAGCGAACAGGAUUAGAUACCCUAGUAGUCC
RNAcentral lists this ribosomal RNA (293 nucleotides) under uncultured bacterium. RNAcentral describes it as "partial 16S ribosomal RNA". It matches the Rfam family "Bacterial small subunit ribosomal RNA", at positions 505 to 796 of the family's 1533-position model. The record is from RNAcentral.